AUGAAUAUUGCCCUCCUGUCCAAAUGGCUUUGGCGGAUCCAGAAUGAGGAGGGUGGCCUGUGGCUUCAGAUUAUCCGUGGGAAGUACCUUCACGGGCAACCGCUAGCAUUUGCAUCUAGGUCUAGAGGUUCCCAAUUCUGGCAAUCGGUGAUCCCUUUGUUACCAGUCCUGCGCAUUGGGACUUCCAUCCAGAUAGGCUCCGGUGCUGCCACCCUAUUUUGGCUGGAUAGAUGGGCGGGUACCCGCCCCUUUGCAGAUCGUUUUUUGGCGUUAUUCUCUAUCUGUGUACGCCCACAGAUCUCCGUGGCUGCGACCUUAGCGAACCUAGGCGUGAUUGCCUUGCGCCGAACCUUCGGGGCGGUUGAACUUGCGCAAUGGGAGGAGCUACUUGAGUGUAUUGCCCUUUACUCCCCUUCGCUGGAACCGGAUACGCUUUCUUGACAUCUGGAGCCAAGCGGUAAAUUUUCGACUAGAUCUCUGUACCAGGUGAUUGUUCCUACUCCUGGUCCAGUGGAGCUAGAGGUGCUUUGGGAGAUCAAACUCCCCCUGAAGAUCCGUACAUUUCUAUGGCAAUGGGUUAGAGGUCGCCUCACCUCAGGCACUGAGGUCCGUAAGCGUAAUGGACCUGGGGAUGAUAUCUGCCCCAUUUGUCUGGUACCGGAAAAUUGCAACCACAUCUUCUUCCGGUGCCCGGCAGCUCAGUUCUUGUGGAGUUGCUCCCGGGAAGUGGUUGGGGGCACGUGGUGCCAUGACAACCUCCCGGAUUUGUUCGGGGAGGUCUUUAGGCUCUCCGGGCCUAGGCGCGCCCCUAUUUGGGUAGCGCUAGCUACCCUUGCCUGGUCUCUUUGGUGUUCCCGCAAUAAACUAGUCAUCGAACCAGUGAUUCCGUCUCGAGUGACUAAUGUGAUCUAUAAAAUGUGUGGCUUCUUACAGCUCUGGAGACCGCUUAGCAAGCGGAGAGGCGUCAUCGACAACAUCAUGGCGGGUCUUCGUGCCUCGGCAGCGUCUUUUGCUCCUCCGCCACCACCUCCUCCUCCUCCUCCUGAGCCGGAUUAA
This 1056-nucleotide ribosomal RNA is filed under the name Triticum aestivum (bread wheat). RNAcentral's name for it is "partial small subunit ribosomal RNA". Lineage: Eukaryota; Viridiplantae; Streptophyta; Magnoliopsida; Poales; Poaceae. The record is from RNAcentral.